RNAcentral lists this ribosomal RNA (253 nucleotides) under uncultured bacterium. RNAcentral's name for it is "partial 16S ribosomal RNA". It matches the Rfam family "Bacterial small subunit ribosomal RNA", at positions 524 to 776 of the family's 1533-position model. The record is from RNAcentral.
UACAUGGGGUGCAAACGUUGCUCGGAAUUAUUGGGCGUAAAGCGCACGUAGGCGUUUUGUUAAGUCGGAUGUGAAAUCCCUCGGCUCAACUGAGGAAGUGCAUCCGAAACUGGCAGGCUUGAGUACUAAAGAGGGUCGCGGAAUUCCCGGUGUAGAGGUGAAAUUCGUAGAUAUCGGGAGGAACACCGGUGGCGAAGGCGGCGACCUGGGUAGAUACUGACGCUGAGGUGCGAAAGCGUGGGGAGCAAACAGG